GGGCCAUUAGCUCAGCUGGUAGAGCACCCGACUCUUAAUCGGGCUGUCGAGGGUUCGAAUCCUUCAUGGCCCACCA
This 76-nucleotide transfer RNA is filed under the name Clostridia bacterium. Its description in RNAcentral is "tRNA-Lys". It matches the Rfam family "tRNA". From Rfam's summary of the family: Transfer RNA (tRNA) molecules are approximately 80 nucleotides in length. Their secondary structure includes four short double-helical elements and three loops (D, anti-codon, and T loops). Lineage: Bacteria; Bacillati; Bacillota; Clostridia. The record is from RNAcentral.